GAGGACUCUGAUUGGACAGUUGUGUGCACGUGUCUGCUGGUUAUAUAAAAAGCCGUGUUUGAAUUUGCUCGGCCCCUUCUGGCCACAUCACAGGUUUUCUUUGAUUGUGACCAGAGGUAUAAGUACUUUAUUCACAGCUGAGACUGAUCAUUGCACUCAAGACUCAUCGCACUCAACUCAUCCUCAAGACUCCUGGAGCAGAUUUGUUCACUCACACUCGAUCACAUUUCACGUUUUUUUAUAUAUAAUUUAUUAGGUUCUCUUAGAUCAUUUUACAUCAAGUAGUUAAGGUAGGUUAAGGUUUAGGUCAGUUAAACUUUGGAAGAAGUUUUUUUUGUUUGUUUGUUUUCUGUCCAGCAGGAUGCUGAGGAAGGGAAGGAGGUCUGAGGCACCGAUGGAGGAAGCUUGACCUGGAGGAGCAGACUCCCUUCACUUCCCCCGAAGAUGGUGUCGUUCAGAGUCGAGGGCCAGGAAGACCCACCCACCCCCCGCUCCCAAGCUCCAGUCAGCAACGUAUGUUCAUAUGAGACAUUGUCUGAGGUUUAAUGUGUUGGUUGGAUCUUCACCCCCAGCCAAGCCUUUCUGGAGCAUGGGAGAUGUGCUUCCCAAAGUUUGACCACGCCAGGGUACCGGGUUCCGCCAUCGUGUGUGGAAGUGGCCAACCUCAAAGCUCACAGGACGGAGCCACAAGUUGGUCAUCCCACUGGAGUCUCCUGACAAGUUCGUUCUGAUUGUCGGGGACUCCCACCUCUGGUCCCUUGCGGACGGUUUUGCCGUGAUGCCAGAAGGGAAGAAGUUCUCUUUUGGUGUCAUGUCGACCCCUGGGGCCCACACUGCGGACGGAGGUCCUGCAUGCUGAUCUUCCUUGGCCCCCUGACGUGGUGUGUUCAUGCCCCCAGCAACAACCUGACGGCGAGCAGGACCAUCGACGAGGCAGCCGUUGAUUAUGCAAGUUUCCUCACUGCUGUGAGGAGCCGCUGGCCGGAGGUUUUUGUGCUGCAGUCGUGUGUCGUCCCCCCCCGCAGGAGGAUGAGACGUACCAGGUCCUCCUGCGCCAAGAGUACCACCGCAUGACGGCUCGUAUGGGUGUGAGCUACUUCUCUGUGGUGGAGCACUUCCCCCUUAUGCGCUUGGAUCUCUGGAGCAGAGAUGGUGUUCACCUGAGCGACUGUGAAGGGAUGGGCAUCCUCACCCAGCUGCUGUGGGCUGCCAUAGAGCAGUUCCUUGAGACACCACCUCCUCCCCCGGUGUCUCCCACUCCUUUGCAGCCACUUGGGAAGGUAUCUCCUAAGCUGGUUGUGAAGGGAGAGUUAUGUGCUCCUGUCUCCUGACCCCUUCCAGUGGAAGGUCAUUGGUCAGAGAAGCAAGUCGCAGGUUCCUGGUCAGGCCAGCGUGGCACAGCAGGAGUCCUUCCUCCCACUGAACCCAGUGUGGUUCAGUAGCCCAAUCCUUCGUGCUGUGGAGGUGUCUCCUUCUUAGCUGUCUGGCAUGGAGGACUGCAGGUCUCCUCCAGUGAGCAAGAAGGUGGCCUCCCCAGCGGCAGCCAGACAUCAUAGGACUGCAGAGAGACGCCCGCCCCCACCACCACCGCCAGUCUCCUGUGAACAAUCUGGUUGGAUCCCCUCCAACCAGGCUGUCAGAGACUGGAGGAUGACACCCCCUCCAGCCCGGUUCCUCGGUCCAGGACCAUGGAUGGACCAUCCCCCCCGCACCCAAAUUUCAGUGACCAACCUGAUGGAGUCCCCUCCAGUCAGGUUGUCCUGCAGUUUGGGUGAUCCGGAGACCCCUGCUGUUCCCCGGUUGUGAAGGUGCCCAGGAUGAAGACUCCUUCACCAGCUGGACCAUCCAGGACCAUUAAAGAUGUGGCCCAUCAGUCUCCUUGCCCAGCUAAGACAUGGACACAGUUUCCCUCAUUGACUUCCUGGCCCUGGAUAAUCGACAAUGGACUCUCCAGCUCCCCUGCUAAAGAGUCUCUGUUCUCUCUUUACUGGCCAUGUUCAACAGGAGGAGUGUCUCACAGCAGAGUGAGGAAGAAAUCAAGAGGACCACAGCUGAUCUUGUGCCAAUCUAGGAUGAAGACCUACAGAAGACUACAGCAGCUCACUCUCCAGUGAAGACAGCAACCCAGGAGAAGAAUGAAGAACAGGCUCAGACCUCCAGGAGACUUUUUUCCUUUUAUCUUUACUUUCCUGAUGGAUUCAGUUGUCUUGUUUUCACAGCUUUGUUUCUUAGAAGAUUAGGUCUCGUUGUAUUUAGUAUGGAGGAUAUGCACCAGGUACUAGGGUGUGUGAUUAGUUGACCGGUAGUACCUAAUCUGCUUUUUGUUGCUGCAGUAAUGCUUUUAUGGCUGAGGACUACAGUUGACUUGUUAACUUGAGUUCAGUCCUAAAGUUUCCAUCAAUGAAACUGUCUUCAUGUUAAACUGUUCAUGUUUAUAGUCAUGCUGUCUGUUGUUGCCCAAAUGAGGAUGGGUUCCCUUUUGAGUCUGGUUCCUCUCGAGGUUUCAUGUCUGAGGGAGUUUUUCCUUGCCACCGUCGCCACAGGCUUGCUCAUUGGGGAUAGAUUAGGGACAAAAUUAGCUCAUGUUUAAAGUCGUUCAUAUUCUGUAAAGCUGCUUUGCAACAAAGUUUAACACUAUACAAAGACUCUUGUUUUGAUUUUUGCUGACUCAUCAGGUGUUUUUUCAAUGCCUUGAUUGCUUGUGUUUUAUGGGAAAGUAAACCUAAUCUGCUGCAAAAUGUCUGUUUAUGGUUUUUUAUUAUUGCUUGCUAGGUAUUAGCAUGUUAGCUAGCUGUUAGCAUCAUAGCAAGUCACACAGUACAGUACAACUCCUGCGAUAGCGACUGCUACGCGCACUGCAUCCCUCUCUCAAUUUCCCCUGGGGGAAUUGUCGUCUCGAGUGUUUUAUACUGUUUAUAUUGUCUGAGUUUAGUCUGUCUUGUUCUUAUCUAGUGUUCAUACUAUUUAUUCUGUUUAUUGUUUGAGUGUUUAGUCUGUCUAGUUCCUAUCUAGAUUGUUUAUACUGUUUUUGUUUUUUCAAUUCUAUUUUUAUUUAUUGCAUUGCCAGUUUGUACUGUGGAUCAGAGAGGACUGAUAUUUCAUCUGUGCUGUACAGUAUGUCGAGCAUGUAUAGCAUAUUUGACAAAGUUGACUUGAAAUUUCAAAAUGUCUCACUUUCGACAUUUGAUAUGUUGUCUAUGUUCUAUUGUGAAUACAAUCAGUUUGAGACUUGUAAGUUAUUGCAUUCCAUUAUUUACAAUUUGUACUUUGUCCUAACUUUCUUGGAAUCAGUUGUAAAUGAAUAAAUAAAAUGACAUGGGGGGGGGGAGACAACAAAAGGAAAUAAAGUAAAUACAUUAAUCUUCUUUGAAAUACACACGAGGGGUUUAUGUGGAUAUGGUGCCUUGUUUAGUGUCAAUUAGUCUAAGGGAUUUCAUGUACUCUUUAAACUCCUGCAAGAAACUUUUAAAGUUGGGUGGAGUAUUUUGUGUAUGUGAAAUUUUGCCAUACAAAAUGAAUAGGUUUGUAAUGAAGGUGUCAUUUUCUCCAUGGACAAAAUACAUUAUCACACUUCUGCAGUCAAUUAAGAUGUUUAUCUUGAUUUUACACACUAUUCAAGUUGAGACCAGAAAUUGAUUGGACACAGUGGUAGAAUAAAUGAGUUAAGGUUUCUGGGUCCAUAUUGCAAAAACUGCAUUUGUUUUCAAUGUUUAAAAAUUUAGAAAUAAAUUUGUUGGAUAUCUAGUGUGUAAAAUUGAUGUGAACCUCUUUUAUUUUAUUGGAAAUACAAUACUUAAGGCAAUGUCCAGGCCUUCUUCCAGUCAUUGUCCAUAAAGAUGUUAUCCCAGAAUGCUUUCCCCUGUGGAGUUAUUUUCCUCUUUUCAUAAAAAGUAUUAGAGCUCAGUGACACAGCAGGGCUGUUAGAUGUGAUGCGCUUAGACUCUGCCUCCCAGCCCAUUUCUGAUUGGUUAAAGACUGCAUCGCUGAAGAAUUAACUGUAUGCUAGAAAUGUGCAAUGUAAAAUUUAUGUCUCUGCUCUAUGAACAUUAAAUGACAGUUGUAGUACUACAUUUAA
Neoarius graeffei (lesser salmon catfish) is the source of this 4075-nucleotide long non-coding RNA. RefSeq lists it as uncharacterized. The transcript is spliced from 19 exons. Lineage: Eukaryota; Metazoa; Chordata; Actinopteri; Siluriformes; Ariidae. The record is from RefSeq and is a predicted model, not a curated record.